RNAcentral lists this ribosomal RNA (2902 nucleotides) under Shigella flexneri K-272. RNAcentral describes it as "23S ribosomal RNA". Lineage: Bacteria; Pseudomonadati; Pseudomonadota; Gammaproteobacteria; Enterobacterales; Enterobacteriaceae. The record is from RNAcentral.
AAGGUUAAGCCUCACGGUUCAUUAGUACCGGUUAGCUCAACGCAUCGCUGCGCUUACACACCCGGCCUAUCAACGUCGUCGUCUUCAACGUUCCUUCAGGACCCUUAAAGGGUCAGGGAGAACUCAUCUCGGGGCAAGUUUCGUGCUUAGAUGCUUUCAGCACUUAUCUCUUCCGCAUUUAGCUACCGGGCAGUGCCAUUGGCAUGACAACCCGAACACCAGUGAUGCGUCCACUCCGGUCCUCUCGUACUAGGAGCAGCCCCCCUCAGUUCUCCAGCGCCCACGGCAGAUAGGGACCGAACUGUCUCACGACGUUCUAAACCCAGCUCGCGUACCACUUUAAAUGGCGAACAGCCAUACCCUUGGGACCUACUUCAGCCCCAGGAUGUGAUGAGCCGACAUCGAGGUGCCAAACACCGCCGUCGAUAUGAACUCUUGGGCGGUAUCAGCCUGUUAUCCCCGGAGUACCUUUUAUCCGUUGAGCGAUGGCCCUUCCAUUCAGAACCACCGGAUCACUAUGACCUGCUUUCGCACCUGCUCGCGCCGUCACGCUCGCAGUCAAGCUGGCUUAUGCCAUUGCACUAACCUCCUGAUGUCCGACCAGGAUUAGCCAACCUUCGUGCUCCUCCGUUACUCUUUAGGAGGAGACCGCCCCAGUCAAACUACCCACCAGACACUGUCCGCAACCCGGAUCACGGGUCCACGUUAGAACAUCAAACAUUAAAGGGUGGUAUUUCAAGGUCGGCUCCAUGCAGACUGGCGUCCACACUUCAAAGCCUCCCACCUAUCCUACACAUCAAGGCUCAAUGUUCAGUGUCAAGCUAUAGUAAAGGUUCACGGGGUCUUUCCGUCUUGCCGCGGGUACACUGCAUCUUCACAGCGAGUUCAAUUUCACUGAGUCUCGGGUGGAGACAGCCUGGCCAUCAUUACGCCAUUCGUGCAGGUCGGAACUUACCCGACAAGGAAUUUCGCUACCUUAGGACCGUUAUAGUUACGGCCGCCGUUUACCGGGGCUUCGAUCAAGAGCUUCGCUUGCGCUAACCCCAUCAAUUAACCUUCCGGCACCGGGCAGGCGUCACACCGUAUACGUCCACUUUCGUGUUUGCACAGUGCUGUGUUUUUAAUAAACAGUUGCAGCCAGCUGGUAUCUUCGACUGAUUUCAGCUCCACGAGCAAGUCGCUUCACCUACGUAUCAGCGUGCCUUCUCCCGAAGUUACGGCACCAUUUUGCCUAGUUCCUUCACCCGAGUUCUCUCAAGCGCCUUGGUAUUCUCUACCUGACCACCUGUGUCGGUUUGGGGUACGAUUUGAUGUUACCUGAUGCUUAGAGGCUUUUCCUGGAAGCAGGGCAUUUGUUGCUUCAGCACCGUAGUGCCUCGUCAUCACGCCUCGGCCUUGAUUUUCCGGAUUUGCCUGGAAAACCAGCCUACACGCUUAAACCGGGACAACCGUCGCCCGGCCAACAUAGCCUUCUCCGUCCCCCCUUCGCAGUAACACCAAGUACAGGAAUAUUAACCUGUUUCCCAUCGACUACGCCUUUCGGCCUCGCCUUAGGGGUCGACUCACCCUGCCCCGAUUAACGUUGGACAGGAACCCUUGGUCUUCCGGCGAGCGGGCUUUUCACCCGCUUUAUCGUUACUUAUGUCAGCAUUCGCACUUCUGGUACCUCCAGCAUACCUCACAGUACACCUUCACAGGCUUACAGAACGCUCCCCUACCCAACAACGCAUAAGCGUCGCUGCCGCAGCUUCGGUGCAUGGUUUAGCCCCGUUACAUCUUCCGCGCAGGCCGACUCGACCAGUGAGCUAUUACGCUUUCUUUAAAUGAUGGCUGCUUCUAAGCCAACAUCCUGGCUGUCUGGGCCUUCCCACAUCGCUUCCCACUUAACCAUGACUUUGGGACCUUAGCUGGCGGUCUGGGUUGUUUCCCUCUUCACGACGGACGUUAGCACCCGCCGUGUGUCUCCCGUGAUAACAUUCUCCGGUAUUCGCAGUUUGCAUCGGGUUGGUAAGUCGGGAUGACCCCCUUGCCGAAACAGUGCUCUACCCCCGGAGAUGAAUUCACGAGGCGCUACCUAAAUAGCUUUCGGGGAGAACCAGCUAUCUCCCGGUUUGAUUGGCCUUUCACCCCCAGCCACAAGUCAUCCGCUAAUUUUUCAACAUUAGUCGGUUCGGUCCUCCAGUUAGUGUUACCCAACCUUCAACCUGCCCAUGGCUAGAUCACCGGGUUUCGGGUCUAUACCCUGCAACUUAACGCCCAGUUAAGACUCGGUUUCCCUUCGGCUCCCCUAUUCGGUUAACCUUGCUACAGAAUAUAAGUCGCUGACCCAUUAUACAAAAGGUACGCAGUCACACGCCUAAGCGUGCUCCCACUGCUUGUACGUACACGGUUUCAGGUUCUUUUUCACUCCCCUCGCCGGGGUUCUUUUCGCCUUUCCCUCACGGUACUGGUUCACUAUCGGUCAGUCAGGAGUAUUUAGCCUUGGAGGAUGGUCCCCCCAUAUUCAGACAGGAUACCACGUGUCCCGCCCUACUCAUCGAGCUCACAGCAUGUGCAUUUUUGUGUACGGGGCUGUCACCCUGUAUCGCGCGCCUUUCCAGACGCUUCCACUAACACACACACUGAUUCAGGCUCUGGGCUGCUCCCCGUUCGCUCGCCGCUACUGGGGGAAUCUCGGUUGAUUUCUUUUCCUCGGGGUACUUAGAUGUUUCAGUUCCCCCGGUUCGCCUCAUUAACCUAUGGAUUCAGUUAAUGAUAGUGUGACGAAUCACACUGGGUUUCCCCAUUCGGAAAUCGCCGGUUAUAACGGUUCAUAUCACCUUACCGACGCUUAUCGCAGAUUAGCACGUCCUUCAUCGCCUCUGACUGCCAGGGCAUCCACCGUGUACGCUUAGUCGCUUAA